CCUACGGGUGGCUGCAGUGAGGAAUAUUGGUCAAUGGGCGGGAGCCUGAACCAGCCAAGCCGCGUGCGGGAAGAAGGUACAGCGUAUCGUAAACCUCUUUUGUCAGGGAACAAAGGCGGGGACUAGUCCCCGGAUGAGGGUACCUGAAGAAAAAGCAUCGGCUAACUCCGUGCCAGCAGCCGCGGUAAUACGGAGGAUGCGAGCGUUAUCCGGAUUUAUUGGGUGUAAAGGGCGUGUAGGCGGGACUGCAAGUCAGAUGUGAAAACCAUGGGCUCAACCUGUGGCCUGCAUUUGAAACUGUAGUUCUUGAGUACUGGAGAGGCAGACGGAAUUCCUAGUGUAGCGGUGAAAUGCGUAGAUAUUAGGAGGAACACCAGUGGCGAAGGCGAUCUGCUGGACAGCAACUGACGCUGAGGCGCGAAAGCGUGGGGAGCAAACAGGAUUAGAUACCCGGGUAGUC
RNAcentral lists this ribosomal RNA (460 nucleotides) under uncultured bacterium. RNAcentral describes it as "partial 16S ribosomal RNA". It matches the Rfam family "Bacterial small subunit ribosomal RNA", at positions 338 to 795 of the family's 1533-position model. The record is from RNAcentral.